UGCUUGCCGGGUUGGAUUAGUGGCGAACGGGUGAGUAUCACGUGAGUAACCUUCCCUUAACUCUGGGAUAAGCCCGGGAAACUGGGUCUAAUACCGGAUACGACCAGUCCUCGCAUGGGGUGCUGGUGGAAAGAUUUAUCGGUUUUGGAUGGACUCGCGGCCUAUCAGCUUGUUGGUGAGGUAAUGGCUCACCAAGGCGAUGACGGGUAGCCGGCCUGAGAGGGUGACCGGCCACACUGGGACUGAGACACGGCCCAGACUCCUACGGGAGGCAGCAGUGGGGAAUAUUGCACAAUGGGCGAAAGCCUGAUGCAGCGACGCCGCGUGCGGGAUGACGGCCUUCGGGUUGUAAACCGCUUUCAGCAGGGAAGAAGCGAAAGUGACGGUACCUGCAGAAGAAGCGCCGGCUAACUACGUGCCAGCAGCCGCGGUAAUACGUAGGGCGCGAGCGUUAUCCGGAAUUAUUGGGCGUAAAGAGCUCGUAGGCGGUUUGUCACGUCUGCUGUGAAAGCCCGGGGCUCAACCCCGGGUGUGCAGUGGGUACGGGCAGACU
Molecule: ribosomal RNA, 553 nt
Filed under: Nesterenkonia sp. AmSamDD61
Lineage: Bacteria; Bacillati; Actinomycetota; Actinomycetes; Micrococcales; Micrococcaceae
Description: bacterial SSU rRNA
Rfam family: Bacterial small subunit ribosomal RNA
Source: RNAcentral